Molecule: long non-coding RNA, 711 nt
Organism: Malaclemys terrapin pileata
Lineage: Eukaryota; Metazoa; Chordata; Testudines; Emydidae
Exons: 3
Source: RefSeq, a predicted model, not a curated record
GUGCAUUUGCUGCUGGGAACCGCUACGCUCAGCUGGGCAGUAGCUAUGUGAGCUCUCCUCCACCCUGAGCAAUUUCAACACUUCCUGGAGCUUUGAAAUGGAGGGGCGAAAGCCUGUGUAGCUGGAUGCAGGGCUGCAGAGUUCAAAACGAAGUGCUGAAAUACUGCAAGAGAGGCAAUUCUCAUAAUACUUCUGAAGUACUGACCCAGCAAUCCCAUGAGAGCCUCGGUUCAUGAGGUGUUGUGUCUGAUUCCAGAACAAAGAGAACUGAGUACAUUCAGUAAGAACAAAGAGGUAUUCUUACACCUGGAAAAGACUAUAUAAGGCUGAUGUCUCAUCUCCAUCUGGUCUUCAAUCCUGCUUCAUACCUCUGGAGGAACUUUGCCACAUGCUGAAGCUUUGAACAGAGGACUGAGGACCCAUCCCAGCGGGGGAUGUAUUCCAGAGACUUGAUUUGAACCUGCAGUUUAUUCCAUUGCUGCUGCAAGCCUGAACCAAGAACUGUGCCAUUACUGUAUGUAAUUGAUUCCAUUUAACCAAUUCUAACUCUCAUCUCUAUCUUUUUCCUUUUAUAAAUAAACCUUUAGAUUUUAGAUUCUAAAGGAUUGGCAACAGCGUGAUUUGUGGGUAAGAUCUGAUUUGUAUAUUGACCUGGGUCUGGGGCUUGGUCCUUUGGGAUCAGGAGAACCUUUUUCUGUUACUUGGGUACUG